GUCGAGGGGCAGCAUGGGAGUUUGCUUGCAAACUUCCGAUGGCGACCGGCGCACGGGUGAGUAACACGUAUCCAACCUGCCGAUAACUCGGGGAUAGCCUUUCGAAAGAAAGAUUAAUAUCCGAUAGCAUAUCAAGAUCGCAUGAUCUUGAUAUUAAAGAAUUUCGGUUAUCGAUGGGGAUGCGUUCCAUUAGUUAGUUGGCGGGGUAACGGCCCACCAAGACGACGAUGGAUAGGGGUUCUGAGAGGAAGGUCCCCCACAUUGGAACUGAGACACGGUCCAAACUCCUACGGGAGGCAGCAGUGAGGAAUAUUGGUCAAUGGACGAGAGUCUGAACCAGCCAAGUAGCGUGAAGGAUGACUGCCCUAUGGGUUGUAAACUUCUUUUAUAUGGGAAUAAAACAGGGUAUGCAUACCCUCUUGUAUGUACCAUAUGAAUAAGGAUCGGCUAACUCCGUGCCAGCAGCCGCGGUAAUACGGAGGAUCCGAGCGUUAUCCGGAUUUAUUGGGUUUAAAGGGAGCGUAGGUGGAUUGUUAAGUCAGUUGUGAAAGUUUGCGGCUCAACCGUAAAAUUGCAGUUGAAACUGGCAGUCUUGAGUACAGUAGAGGUGGGCGGAAUUCGUGGUGUAGCGGUGAAAUGCUUAGAUAUCACGAAGAACUCCGAUUGCGAAGGCAGCUCACUGGACUGCAACUGACACUGAUGCUCGAAAGUGUGGGUAUCAAACAGGAUUAGAUACCCUGGUAGUCCACACAGUAAACGAUGAAUACUCGCUGUUUGCGAUAUACAGUAAACGGCCAAGCGAAAGCAUUAAGUAUUC
Molecule: ribosomal RNA, 817 nt
Filed under: uncultured bacterium
Lineage: Bacteria
Description: bacterial SSU rRNA
Rfam family: Bacterial small subunit ribosomal RNA
Source: RNAcentral